Long non-coding RNA from Suricata suricatta (meerkat), 1032 nucleotides. RefSeq lists it as uncharacterized. The transcript is spliced from 4 exons. The record is from RefSeq and is a predicted model, not a curated record. Lineage: Eukaryota; Metazoa; Chordata; Mammalia; Carnivora; Herpestidae.
AGGCACCAACUCUGUGCCAGCAUGCGUUUAUGGAGAUUUCCUUUUGGAGAAGGAGAGGAGUUAAGGGCCUGCUCGUGAUGUGUGCCUGGCUUCCGGGGGUUUCUGCACAAACCAUGUAAUUAUUAGCCCCUGAAAGUAAACACCCAUCGCUCCACCGGAAAAGGCAGCCUAAAAAGAUGACCUCCUCUAGAAAAUACACGUUUCACGCCUCCUGUGAGGAGCUUCAAGAGCCUCGGCAAGGAAAACAAUCUCCGGGGACGUGGCUGCGGACAGCGGUGCGUCACGGAGGCCAGCGAAGCCCACCACCGGCCAGGGACCCCUCUGGCGGGGAGGAGUGGAGUCGGCCCCUCCCACCGUGUCCUCCAUGACCCCAAAGCGUGACGAAGCCGUAAUGCGCAGGCUCGGAGCUCGCAUGGCGGGGGUUUGGCUCACACACUGAUGGGGAGCUGAGAUCUGCACGGGCGGAAUUCUAGGCCACCACCAUCUCCACGCUGCACAGGGGAUGUCCAGGCAUCAAGAGGUAGCCGAACUUGCCCAAGUCUGAAGAGCUAGAAAGUAGGGAAGUCGUAUUGGAAACAACGCCCGAGACUCUGAGCACAGAAUAUGUCACAGGCUGAAAGGUACACGUGUCACCUGAAGAAAACUGCAGAGGGCACAGAUAACGUGGGGACACAGUGACGAUCCGGGAGGUGGUGACCACAGCACUUGAGCCCGGGAACUUCUGAAUUCAAGUGACCUUCCCAGAGCUGGACCACGCACCGGAAGCCGGGGACGGACCACGCAGCUGGACUAUGGGGCUCUGGGCAGCGAGGCUCCCCGAGUGAGCGUCCCUCCAGGAGCAGGAGGCGGUGCCUCCAGAGCAGGCACCACUCUGAGGAGUGUGCACUCCGUGUUCCACAGCCUGCACUGGCUCCCUAGUGCCCUCACCUCGAGGCCGCCAUCAUUCACCGGCCACCACCACCCUGCCCCGCACGGCCACCAUUGCUCACUUUGUAUUUUCCUUUCAACGGAUUUGCACAUUUCUAACCUAAA